UUUUUUAUGUGGUGUGGCCCACAAUCCAAUUUGAGUUGGAAAAAUACUUCGAAGGAAGUAGGCGGCGAGCAUUUUCUUAUAAAUAGUAUUAUUAUUUAUCAUGUUUAUAUUUGAUAUUACAUUUAAGAAAUAGCUAUACGUAUUAGCUUGCGAGUAUGUGGAUAAACUGCUCACAAAAUGCGCAAAUAAACUAGCCCGUCCCUGAGAAUGAGGCGUUCCUCUUCGACUUUUCUCGAUCAAUCACGCGGACAGUGGCUCCUUUUGAUUAAACCCCAAAUUGUCAUUGGACAGAGGUAAUCAUGUGACAAGCAAUACGGUCCAAUUUCAACCUUGUCUCCAUGAAAGCAGUUUAAUGGUAUCGCGGUCCCCAUACGGCCGUAAUCAGCAAAAUAGUGAUUUUUUUUUACACCGGGCACAAUAUUUCAUUAUUUCUUCUAAGGUCCCAAAUCUGUGCGCGGGGAAUUCCUUUAAGACUCGGAGGAGAUGAAUUACGAAUUCGAGCGAGAGACGGGGUUUAUCAAUAGUCAGCCGUCGCUCGCUGAGUGCCUGACAUCUUUUCCCCCUGUCGCUGAUGCAUUUCAAAGUUCAUCAAUCAAGAGCUCGACGCUUUCACGCUCGACACUGAUUCCUCCUCCUUUCGAGCAGACCAUUCCCAGGCUGAACCCGGGCAGCCAUCCUCGCCAGAGCCGCCCAAAGCAGAACCCGAACGGCGUGUGCCCUCUGCCCGCCGCCUCGUUACCCCCGGAGUACCCGUGGAUGAAGGAGAAAAAAGCUUCAAAGAAAAACCAGACCUCAGCUGCAGCCACAACCGACCCUGCACCACUCUACUUCUCUCCGGAAGGUUCGCCGGAGGUUUCUGAUGGUGGCGGAGGUGGCGGUGGCACACGCAGACUGAGAACGGCCUACACCAACACACAGCUGCUGGAGCUCGAGAAAGAGUUCCACUUCAACAAGUACCUGUGCCGACCACGGAGGGUCGAGAUCGCCGCGUUGCUGGACCUCACGGAGAGGCAAGUAAAAGUUUGGUUUCAGAACCGGCGCAUGAAGCAUAAGCGCCAGACGCAGUGCAAGGAGAACCAGAACGGCGAGACGAGAGCUACGAGCCUGGAGGAAAACACAGCCCAUGGCAAGGUUUUUUAUGAACAAUCGCAAACGAACGCCGUUUCCGGGGCUCUCUUGGAGAACGAGAGUUACGCGUUCCAGCAGAACACUACGCAAAAUGGACACAAUGGAGACUCUCCAAGCUCUACUAUUUCACCCCUGAACAGCAAUGACAAAAAUCUGAAACAUUUUCCCAACUCGUCACCCACUGUUCCCGUGUGCGCCCCUACAAUGGCUAUGGACGGCGCAGCUGCUAGGGACAAUAGCACUUCCCCAGGCCUGGACGGCCCCAUGCACGACUUUCACGUUUUCUCCACAGAUUCCUGCCUGCAUCUUUCAGAUGCCAUCUCUCCGAGUGUGUCUGAGACGGUGGACAGCCCCAUGGGUUUAGGCACGGACUCAUUUGAUUUCUUCUCGGAGACGCUGACGACGAUCGACUUACAACAUUUGAAUUACUAACAAUUUUUGAACACAAGGGAGCCCCGUUAUCUUUCUCUACGUUGACGGAUGUCUGUGCAUCAUUCCCAUGCAGGGAUUUGCUUCCCAAAGGCAUCACAGAAAACAACCUUCCUUAAAUGGAAGAGUGUGUCUCAUUUUGCACCUUCUAUCAACUAAAGAGAAAGGCUUCUGGAUAGCACAUAUUGGAUGGGGCUUUUACUGUAUCUCAGGUUAAUUUGUUGAAGUAUAAAGACAAUCAAAAUAAGCAGUAUGAGUUACAUAUGAAUCACAGCCAUGGUAAGUAAUUGUAAGAGUAUUAGCUGGAUGUAUUUACACCUUAACCACAGUGGUACAGUAGGUAUUGUUAUUGCCUUACAGCUUCAGGAUCCUUGGUCUGAUCCUUGGCUUAUAGUCUGAGCAGAGUUUUGCAUAUUCUUUGUUCACAUGGAUUUCCUCUCAGUUCUUCUGUUUCCUCCCAAUGUCCACAAAGGCAGCUGGGUAGAUAACUACGCUAAUUUUUCCCUAGAUUUAAAUGAGUGUAUGGUAUGUGUUCAUGGUGGCAAUGAGAGGCCGGCAUCCUAUCUAGUGUGAUGUCUAUUUUGCACACAGUGUUUCUGGGAAAGGCUUUGGAUCUAACACUUCCCCUGCAAUGAUAAAGCAGUUUUUGAACAUAAAUGAACGUUUAGACCUCCUUACCUAAGUCAUACAUUAUGCAAAGUUAAAAAUAAACAUCCUUUAUGGAACAUAGAAUACAAAUAUAUCAGCUGCUUAAGUGUUGCAUUCUUUGGGUUAACACUAACAUUGUGGACAAACUGCAUAUUAUAAUGUUAUUGUUUUGAUGUUUUGGUUGUAGUUAAUGUUUUCCUGUAUAUAAGAAAGAAUUUCAUCCAACAGCUGGAUGGAAGUUGCUCACAGCUGCAUACCCCACAGGUCUGAUCCAAGUUCAUAAGCAUUCUCUGAAGAGGUGUUGUAAGCAAAACCAGACAGGGGGGGGGGGUAGCUCAAAGCAACUGCAUGCACAUUUCUCUUACUACAGAAGCAAGGAAAGGGAUGUCUUAGCUUGAAUGCUUUAAUAAUAAAUAUAAUUUCCAUCAAAGGUGACCUUUUGUCUUCACAUUGUUUUUUUUCCAAGAUGUUAGCAUGAAAAGAAAGAGUUGAGGUUUCCAUGUAAGCUAAUUCUGAGCUAUUUAAAAACAACACCUGAGCAGCUUAAUCCUUUGAAGGCCAAAGGGUUAAUGUGCCUACCCAUCCACCUCUGGGGUUUUCACUUUACACAUUUAACUGUACCCUCCAGACAUGCUGAAUUACAGUGUUAAGUGCAGAUUGUCACCUGUUUAACCUCCAGGCUUCAGAGGCUGCUUAGAUGUUUGGAUAGUGAAAUGCAGCAUACUGUAAUUCAUCUUAGUGACCUCAUCUUUCUCUAGGUCACUAAGCCUUUAACCAAAGGCUUAAAAUCUGCAAUUAUCCUGACAUUGUUGUGAUAUUUUGAAUGCAUCAAUCUAAAGACUCAGAUGGCCAUAAUAAAACACCAAAUUUGUGUUCCUAUAAUCAUUUCCUGUAUUCAUAAAAACCUUUAAUAACUAUAGCUAGAUUUUAACUUCCAGGCAGGAGCAACCAGGUAUUAGACUUAAAUAUCAUCAUACAUUGCAAAGUUCAUGAUAAUCAAUCUUUCAAUAAGCCCCUGAACCACAAGUCACACAGCAGAUCCUACACAUCAAUGAUCCACCACACAUUUCACUGUAGGUUUGGGGGCAUUUUGUUGUAUGUGGCCAUCAUUUUCCUCUCUUUCCAUGCUGAUGGUGUGCCUCACCGUAAUGUUGAUUUAUAUGUCCUCUGAUCACGACACAAUUAAAAUUAAAAAAUUAAAUUGAGCUUAUUGAAUUCUGUGGUUCCUUUCAUGCUAGCAGUUUCAACAUUAUACCUUGACACUGAAAAAAACAAAAAAAAAGUAAAUAAAGUGUGCAAUCUUAAACUCUUCUUCCUUUCUCGCCUUAGUCCAGUAAGCUCAGUCCAGUUUCUGUAAAGUGUCUAAGUAUUCUAAACUAAAGCUAUGUAUCAUAGCCCAGGUCAUUAAUUUUUUUUUAUAUUUGAUAUAAUAUUUAUUAAUAUCCAUAUUCUUGUCAAUG
RNA transcript from Tachysurus fulvidraco (yellow catfish), 3665 nucleotides. It is a transcript of the gene named homeobox A2b, with no coding region annotated. The transcript has 3 exons. Lineage: Eukaryota; Metazoa; Chordata; Actinopteri; Siluriformes; Bagridae. The record is from RefSeq and is a predicted model, not a curated record.